UGUUGAGCAUUUUCAUUAAAUUUCUUUAAAUAUUUCUUAUUAACACGUUGCCUGCCACAGGACAUCGAUAUGAUCUGCUUCUAUUUGCCAAAAGGGUUUUUAUUAACUUUCUCAAAUCAGAAAGCUGAAAUAUUUGGUGUGGUGGUAUAUAGGUACAUAAUACAUGUAAUCACACUACAAUGUCGUGAUACAAGUUAUCUCAUAGUAAUGCAAAAUGCUCAGAUUGGUUUGCUACGAAGGCUUUGAGGGGAUGUUAUGCAUUAUUUGACUAUGUCUCUUCAUUGUAUGUUUUCUUUAUUUUUUUCAGAUUCACAAAGAACUAUUAUAAAUUUUGAUUUGUAAUAUAUAAGAUGCCAAAAAGCCUUUCCAAUGAAAAAAUUGCUGGAGUGCUUCAGGAACCCGUGGUAAAUGAACUAUCGGAAGAUGAUAUCUUAGAGUCAGAGAGUGAAUACUGAGAUGCUUUGGAUAAAAAUUAGCAAAUACCAGUGGAAGUAAAUACCAGUGAGGCCAGUUCCACUGACGAAGAUGAACAAUUAGUUGCUUGAGGUCAUAAGAGACAACGCAGUUCUCCUGUACCGACAGCACCGAGUUCUCCGGCACCAACUGCAUCGACAUCUAAUACCUGAUAUAUAUAGAUGUUUUACCAAAUAUAUUUCCUGGCUGGUGCCAUGAUAUUAGUUAACUUGUAUUAUUGGGCAAAUAAAAGGUGUCUUUGGUGUUUCCACUACACGCUCACAAUGUUAGAUCCAGAUGCCAGUUCAUUUUAAGCUUGUUACAAUAAAAUAGACCUCUAUGAGUAUGCUCCUACCUGGCAAAAUUGUAUAGAUUGGCUACUACGAGAUAACUCGUUGUUGGCAGUCAAAAUGUUAAAAAGCAGUAACGACAGAAAAAUAAAUGACAGUUUCCUCUGAAUCCAUCCAACGGUUCUUGAGAUAUCUUGUCCACGGACAAACAAACAAACACAACUGAAAACAAUACCUUUGCCUUCACUAAGGUGGAGGUAAUAAUGAUUUCAAAUUUUGGUACAAGGCCAGCAAUUUAGGGGUGGGGCUAAGACGAUUGCAUCAACCCCAAUGUUCAACUGGUACUUAUUUUAUUGACCCCAAAAGGAUGAAAGGUAAAGGGGACCUCGACAGAAUUUAAUAAACAUCAAAGUUUAAAAAGCAAAAAUUAUCUAUAUAGUUAUGUGUGUGUGUGUGUGUUUGGCGGAUAUUAAUUUGCAUAUCUUUCAACAAAAGUUCCAGAAGCAAAAACGAAAAUAAUAUAAAUAUAAAAAAACUGCUGCACUCACACACACACACACGCACACACACACACACGCACAAGCACAAACACACACGUACACACACACACGCACACACACACACACAC
Molecule: long non-coding RNA, 1371 nt
Filed under: Octopus vulgaris (common octopus)
Lineage: Eukaryota; Metazoa; Mollusca; Cephalopoda; Octopoda; Octopodidae
Source: RNAcentral